RNAcentral lists this ribosomal RNA (99 nucleotides) under Neogale vison (American mink). Lineage: Eukaryota; Metazoa; Chordata; Mammalia; Carnivora; Mustelidae. The record is from RNAcentral.
AAUUAGUCUACAGCCUGAACACGCCUGAUCUUGUCUCUCAGAAGCUAAGCAGGGUCGGGCCUGGUUAGUACUUGGAUGGAAGAGAGUGCAAUUAAAUUU